GCCAGCAGCCAUAUCACCCUGCAACCCACUAAGCAGGUGUGGGCCUGGUCAGUACCUGGAUGGAGACCUCCUGGAAAAAACUAAGGUUGCUGCUGGAA
RNAcentral lists this ribosomal RNA (98 nucleotides) under Lepisosteus oculatus (spotted gar). The record is from RNAcentral. Lineage: Eukaryota; Metazoa; Chordata; Actinopteri; Semionotiformes; Lepisosteidae.